Molecule: long non-coding RNA, 1310 nt
Filed under: Cavia porcellus (domestic guinea pig)
Lineage: Eukaryota; Metazoa; Chordata; Mammalia; Rodentia; Caviidae
Description: lncRNA (ENSCPOG00000030337.1)
Source: RNAcentral
UGGUUUACAGUGGCUGCACUCAUCUCACUGCUCAGGACAGGAAGCUUCAUAGCAUGGUACAGCAGAAGAGGCAGAGCCAACAAAUACAGCAGAAACAACGAGGCUCAAACCAUCCUGGAGGCCAGGACGAGGUAUUUUGUUUGCCGAGAGGAGGAAACUGACCUUCUAAAUGUCAUUUUUAAAAAGCAAAAACAUGAGGCUGAUGGGAAGGAUAUUCCAUCCUGGAGGGUCACACAGAAGGAAGACACCAGACAGAGCUCGGAUCAGAGGCCACGGCGGGUGGCAGAUCUGUUCGCAGGAGCCUUGAGGCACAGAGUGCUGGGACUCCACCAGACCCCAUCCCUCAGUGAGAGCAAAGGUGACAGACAAUAAUUCUAUUCCUGUCACUUUCCCUGAGCAUUUUGUGGAAUCAAAAAUCCUGACUGAACUAACCUUCACCUCCCCGUAGAGAAGAUGGGCACCGCAUACAGUACGUCCCUGGACAGGAGAAACCCAGGGCCUCAAGUGCUGGAGGACAAAGAGGGCGGUGAGUGGCCUUGGAGGUACUGGGGCAGAGACGAGGGAGGAGGCAUCCUGGACCAGGGGAGCAGCGGGGCACCCUUCCCACUGAGUAAGGAGGUGGAAGGCUUGCAAUGUUAACCAAAGAGUGGCCUGAUCAGCCUUGUGCUUCAGAGACAUUCCAUGAGAAUGACCUGAAGGGAGAUAGCCUCACACCAGCCACUUCUGAGGGGAUGUGUGCAUGGGAACGCACGGUCGGACAAGCUGCUCCAAAUGUGUGACAGAAGAAAAUGGGCAGCAGGGUGUGGUGCCACAUGCCUAUAGCUCCAGCACUUGGAAGGCUGAGACAGAAGGGUCACUGAGAGUUCAAGGCCAGCCUGGGCUGCAUAUAGUGAGACCCUGAACCAAAAAACAAAUACAAAAUGAAAAAGGAAAAUGGACAGAAGCUCUCAUUCAUGGAGUAGUUACUAAGUGCUAUUUAUACACAUUACCACUUCUAAUUCAGUAUAAAUCUAUUUCCUCUAGCUAGUUUCAGAGAAGUCUAGUAACUCACCAAAGGUCACACAGUAAGUAGCAUGGAACCCAGUUCAUCUGCCUCAGAAGCCCAAAUCCAUGUGCCCACUGGGGGGGGGGGUGUCUGCAGGCCCUUGUAGGUAUAAGAUAGAAGCUGCCCUGUCUCUGAUGUAGACUGCUGGUGGAAGAACUAUCCUCUCUACUCUGAGAUUCAGAUUCAAAUAUGAAUAUUGAUCAGUAAACCAGUAGCCGAAGUUUCAUUUCUGCGACUGAGGCAGCGGCUUAUUUCAAUGUGUCUG